This is a long non-coding RNA of Dermochelys coriacea (leatherback sea turtle), 4280 nucleotides long. RefSeq lists it as uncharacterized. The record is from RefSeq and is a predicted model, not a curated record. NCBI's taxonomy places the organism in Eukaryota, Metazoa, Chordata, Testudines, Dermochelyidae. The transcript is spliced from 3 exons.
CUGGCUCCCUGAUGGGGGGAGGGAAGGUUCGGGCAUUGGCAUACAGGUCCAUGCACACCUCCCUUUUCCCCUACUCUAGCUCAGUCGAUAAAGCACUAGACUGGGACUUAGUAGACCUGGGUUCCAUUACUGGCUUGGCCACUGCCAGCUAGGUGACUUUGGGCAAGUCACAUUAGGUCACUGUGUGUUAGCUUCCCCAUCUCCAAAUUGGGGAUGAUGAUACUGAUCUCCUUUGUAUAGCACAUGAUAAGUCCUAUAUAAGCACUUUGUUCUAUUAUUAUUACAUGUAAUACUGCUUCUCUGAAUUACAUACAUUACAGCCCUAUUCUAUACACCCUCUUUGGACAUUUGUUACACUUAGCAUUUGCGGACCUCUUUGCUUCCUGCUCCUCAAGGAACUGAAUUUGAAUGUUCUGGAUGCACUGAGCUGGUGGCAGUUGGUCUCAGAAUGAAGCAGGCCAGGACGCUUUGAGAGAUAGGGGAGUUAAGGUGCUGUCUCAGGCGCAGUUAGACUCUCAAGGUUCCAGCCCAUGGUGAUAUACACUCAAAGUCUCAUGAACAACAAAGGAUUGCCCUAGUGGGACUGCCCGAUAUUAACAGUCCAAUUAACCUCUCUAUGUUUGUUUUAAUGUUUAUCCAAAUAAAGACAAAAACCCAACACACAAUAGUUCCCAAUCCUAUGCUAUGAAAGCAGAGCUCCUCCUGCCUAGCACCAGGGAUGCUCCCUGAAGGAAGCAAUCACUCACUGGCCUGCAGUCCCCCAGAGUUCAGUUCUUUCAUUCCUGCCACCCCUUUGCAGGUAUUCUCAAGUAUUCAACUCUCGAGGGGGUUAGCACAGACCCCUUUGCCAGCAACGGGCUGCUGCUUAGCCAUUCUCUCCCAGCUCAUGCCUUCUCUUCACAGGCUGCCUCUGACCUACUGCUCCUGCUCAAUGCAUCCUCUGGCUCCCUCCUGAGCCAGGUUCCCUGCCUUCUCAGUGCUGAAUGAAGUAUGGAAUCCUGUACUGGCAGGAUGUUGUGCUGGAAGUUAACACUGCCCUCUAGGAGCUCACAGAUUCAUCACAACACCUUGAGAGAAGCAGGAUUACAAGUGAUCUUGCUGCUGUGAAUAGAGAUGGAGGGGAGAGGUGAGGUGGAGAUAUAUAUUUCAAAAUUCAUCGCCUGCCUUUGGUUCCAAGUGAGAGGAGGUGCUGCCGAUGGAUAGAAGGGACAGCAUUCAUCAUAUCAACACUAAGGAGCUGAGAACCAGAGUCCCAGAUGCUCUACUAGAAACUCUUCCUGUGGGAGGGGGGACAAAGGAAUCAGCUCUAGAUAUGCAACAGAAAACCCAUAAACUACCUGCUCCUGAGGGUCGGAUAUAAAAUAUAAGGCCAUGAUUUGGAAGUACAUUACUUACAAACACAAAAUACAGUACUACUGGAAAAUACAUUAACCAAAUAUCACUCUUUCAUACUGCAGAUGAUCAAAGGAUUACAUGAAUUUUAAUCCUUUGCAAAAUACAGUAUAAUCUCUCCCCUUUAACCUAUUAAUAUAUCUAUAAAAGAGCUAGUAACAUGGUUACAGGGCGAGCUGCACUUUAGGCCCCUUUCAGCCCUUCUCGAGCAUAUCCUUCAGGUGACAGGCCUGACUUCCUGCACCUUUCUCGAGGGUCAAACCACGUGAUCCAUCCACUCUUGGAUUGCAUCUCUGGGGGGCAACCCCGUUUCCCAACCAUGUUAACCCAACAGGCCCAGCUGUUUUCCCUCCUUGUUGUCCUUUAAUAAUGUUAGAUGGAAUCCUGUGGCUAAGAGUGAAUGGGUUGUAAAAGGAGGUGAAGAGCUUGUACAUUUCAGCAACUGUGGGGUUUGCAAAGUAAAGGGAUUUGUAUUAACAGGGCAAAUUGGAGCAUUGCUAAAAGAGGACAGAGUUAAGUUUGGAUGGACAACCUUAACUGUGCAUUUUCUGGUUUUCAAAAGUCUGAGUUUUUACUCAAUUCAACAUUCUGCAAGGGGACAAUAUACCACCAAGCAAUCUUAACUCUACAUUAACAUAGUUUUUUGCCAUUGAAUUCAUCCAAAGAUAUAUAGCAAGUAGAGGAAAGGGAUAAAACAAAGGUCUAUACUUGUCUUUCCCCUUACCUAAACCUUAAUAUUUCCUCGCAAGCUUUGGUAAAUUCCAUUCAGCCCAGUUACCUCCAUCUAUGUUUGGGACAGAGAGAGAGAGAAGGGUCUGCUCAUGGCAGUUUUUCCCUUUCUCUAUGUCUUUGUCAGCAUCUCCUUCCUGAGCAGCUGCUGACAACCCACGCAACACUUCCCCCUCUUUCUUCCUACUCUAACAUCUCUAAGGUGCAAUGUGUUUUGAACCUAGGCUUAGAUCUGGAAAGAGUAAACCUUGUCAGCCUGGUUGGAGCCAGGUAAGACCAUUUUCCAAUCAAUAGUUCCCCAUUCAAUGACCCUUGAUAUUCUGUGGACUGUACCUUAUCUUUGCCAUAGUUUUAUUUCCUGUUUGUUCUCCUCUUCUUCCCCGCCCCAAGCAGCCUACUUUGAUUUAACUCCUUGCAGUUAGAUAGGAUAAUAUCAACGAGAUAAACUGAGGUGCAUGUUUCUAUUUGCAAAAAAAUAAUUAUACACAUAACUCCCUUAUUUUCCACAGCUAGGUAUUAUUAUCAGACAACUUUAAUAGAUGACAUUAAAAUAGAAAUGAGGGGCUUUGACCUAAUAAGAAAACAUCCUGCUUUAUUAGCAUCUACUCACCAUUAUAGUUUAAUAUGUGACAUUCUUGAGUAUGUGCUUUUUUAAAUGGAUUUGAUUAUUAUACUAUUCUCAAAUACACAUACACACAUCAUGAAGCAUUUAAGGUUGCUAUACACACAACAUAUCUGACACUAACUAACAAAGCAAGGAAAUUAAAACAUAAUCCACCCAACUGUACCUACCUCCUAGCUGUACACCCAGAGGCACUCACCCUUACUUCAGCAACCAUACACCACAGACCACACAUGGUCUUAAUGCGGUAAAGGGGUAUGUGCAGAAUGUCAAUAUGGGAACGGUUAUCUCCCCCACCACAACAACACUAGUAGUUGUGGAUGUUUGAUGUAGUAGUUGGUUUUAUCAGAAAGGUACCUUGGAAAAGAGCUCUGUGCAGAAGUACACAGAUAAAAGGGGUGUUAGAAGGCUAGCAUCCCUAGGGUGCAGAGCUAUGGUCAGAGUGCAGAGUCUGUAUGAUGCAGCGGUUGUAUGUACUGUCAAGUGUCUGAACUUUUCAUUUAAUUGCUUUUGUGGAUUACUGUAAGGGCCUCUUGUGUGGAGAAUCUCUAACUACUUCACAACAAACAUUUUUAUUUAUUAGUUUCCUAGGUUGUGUAAUGCUUUGUUUGGAGUGGCUUUGAUCAGGCAACCUAUAGAGCAGAGAAGUGGAGAUGUUGAUGAAUGAUAAUCAAUCAGCCAGCAGCUCCAUAUAAACAUUCAUGUGCCAGCAAUUGCCAACGAACCCUUCUGUGAUCUUUGUUUUCUGUUACUAUUUUUUAUCUCCUGUCAGAGUAGGAUUUCUUUAUGUAUCCUGCACAGGCCUUCAAGCACAAAGUCCCCAUCCCUCAAAAAUGCAUGAACCUAGCUCACCAGGUGACUUGAGGGUAAAGCUAGAGAAGAUUGGUGGACAGUUAGGUAAUGGAUUCAGUCUCAUAGCUGCACCAGUCAUAGGGUUAGAUAUCAAGCCACGCCUUGAGUAUAGUUAGGGUAGGUUGGGUCAGUUGAAAGAUCUGGGAAAAGGUUACACUUCAGGCAGUGCAAAGAUCUUGGACUAGGUUUAGCAUUAGGGAUGGUUGGUGACUUUCAGAAUGGAUUAUUAUAGGGAUCCCUGGGCUGUUGUAAUAUUGAGUCAAUUAGGUCUUAUUGGUAGAGUUGCGAACCCUCCAGGAUUGUCCUGCAGUCUCCAAGAAUUAAAGAUUAAUCUUUCAUUGAGGGUAUGUCAUAUGAUGAAAUCUCCAGGAAAAUAUCUGACUACGAUUGGCAAACCUACUUAUCGGGGCUAGAAUCAACACUGGGGCCUGGAGGACUCCCUCAACAAAGCUUGGAGUGGGGCCGAAAGGCCUCCCUGGGCCAGCAUUAGGGCUAUAGGGAUGAUAGGCCUCCCUGGGCCAGUAUUAGGGUUAUGGAUGAUAGCACAAAUCAGCCUAUGGAUCAUUUGAGGGGCUCUGGGGCUCCCUGGCCUAGUGCUAAGGUCAUUCCAGGUAUGGCUCUCUGGCCCAGAGUUACAAGGCAUAGGUUCCCAGGGCCAGGGUGAAGGUUGCAAUUCAUACAGUUU